Molecule: long non-coding RNA, 1824 nt
Organism: Mytilus californianus (California mussel)
Lineage: Eukaryota; Metazoa; Mollusca; Bivalvia; Mytilida; Mytilidae
Exons: 5
Source: RefSeq, a predicted model, not a curated record
GAUGUACAUCAGAACCUUAAUGAUGCGUUCACAUUGAUACAUAACUUGUCUGUCUCUAGACAUUACUUGUCUGCUUUUGGACAGUCCUAGUGUGUCUCAAAACAUUAUUGUUUCUAUUGCAAGACAUGACUUUUAAAUUCUAAGUGGUCAGUGCAUGAAAAACAUUUGCAAUGUUUAGAUAACGUAGAAAAAUGUUGUCCUCUCCAUUGCAAGUGCCAAGAAAUAAAACUCACAGGGGUCCUAAGUAGAAUUACUGAAAGAAAGUCAAGAGCGAUCGAUUCUGUAGAAAAAUGUAGUUUGUGUUGAAAAAAAAUGACACUGACGAAGGCGAUUUCAUAUGCUGUUUUGUUCAAUAUGUUCAGUGUGCAUAUAUUGCGCUCGAAUCAAAAUAGCUGACAAGCCAACUCAAAUAUGAAUUUCAAGUGCCUUACACAAAAGUUCCACAAUGUUAGGCCGGAUACGGCUUACGCAAUCUAUGCCUGAGGUAGAAAAUCAUUAGCGUGGUUUGAAUAUUUCAAAAUUUUAUAAACAGUAAGUUUACACAAAAUGUCCAUAUCAGUGAUAUUUUAUUUGAUACUCAAACGAGAACUAAUACCAAUAUUGACAUAUCGUGAAUAUUUUGAAAGUGAACUUGUUUGACUCUCAGUUCCAAGUGAACUGUGAAAUGUUUAAUGACUGUUUGUUGAUUUAAACCUUUAAUCAUCUUGUCUAUGUCUACACUUUAAUUCAUUGCUCAUUGAUUGACGAUUAUAUAAUGGAUAUAAAUAUCAAGAUUUUUACCACGGCAUUGUCAGUUUGUUUUCGUCUAAUCCGUUUGACUAUUGCUUUGGUAGUGCCGCAAUCAUGUAUUACAGAGAAAAAGAAAAAGAAAGUAAUAAAGGUUAGGUUGCAAUCAGAUACCAAGGGAGAAAACGUAAAAAAAAGACAAACAACAGUAUACGAAGCACAACACAGACUCUAAAGACCGAGCAACACGAUCCCCAUCAAAAGCCGGAGGUGAUCUCAGGUGCUAUGUAAGGGUUCAUUGGUAGAAGCGAAAAGGCAUACCAAGGAGGACUUGCACAUUUGAAGGUUUCAAAUAAAGACAUAAAGCAUUAUACAAGUGGUGGUUCCAGAUGUCUUUACAAACACUUUGAAACUUAUCUAUGUGCUCUUGGAAACGACGGAUGUUUCUACAGAAAGCCUUUGACCAGCGGAAUACGCUAUGGAAAACAACCAUUAGGCGUGAACAAACUAGAGUCUUUAAUGAAGGAAAUGUGUGGAAAAGCCGGGCUAACAGGAAACUUCACAAAUCAUUCGGGAAAAAGAGGUUGUUUUACGUCCUUGUAUAAGGCUGGUCUAGUCGACCAGUCCAUAAUGGACCGUACAGGUCACCGUUCAACUGCCGUGAGAGCGUACAAAACAAAGACCAACGAACUAGAAGAAAAGGCAUCGAUGGCCCUAAACCCCCCGUCUGAGGAGAACACCGUCGGAACAAGAGAUGAAAAACAACCAUCCACCAAGAAAAUAAAAUUCAAUAAUUCUGUAGAGGUUCAUGACGACACAGGGCAGGAAUUAUUCGAUAUCACGAAUGGCCCCGCUUCUCGUGGAAAUGUCAGUUAUAACAAUUGCCAUUUUACUUACAACGUUACUAAAUAAAGACAGCCGCGAUGUGCAUUUCAGAAUAUAUUUUUUGAUUAUAUAGUCUGACAGAGAAAAGCAGACAUUUUUCAAUAGAUUCAUAUAUUGCAAGAUGGAUAAAAUUUCAACCAUUAUUUUUUUGAAAGUGCUAUGAAUGAUCCUGUAUUAGUGCGAUUUUUGAGACAUUACAUAAUUUGGAAAUUG